CGCGGAUCAGCAUGCCGCGGUGAAUACGUUCCCGGGUCUUGUACACACCGCCCGUCACACCACGAGAGUUUACAACACCCGAAGUCGGUGGGGUAACCCGUAAGGGAGCCAGCCGCCGAAGGUGGGGUAGAUGAUUGGGGUGAAGUCGUAACAAGGUAGCCGUAUCGGAAGGUGCGGCUGGAUCACCUCCUUU
Molecule: ribosomal RNA, 193 nt
Filed under: Paenibacillus sp. CGMCC 1.18879
Lineage: Bacteria; Bacillati; Bacillota; Bacilli; Caryophanales; Paenibacillaceae
Description: partial 16S ribosomal RNA
Rfam family: Bacterial small subunit ribosomal RNA
Source: RNAcentral